This 76-nucleotide transfer RNA is filed under the name Betaproteobacteria bacterium. RNAcentral's name for it is "tRNA-OTHER". It matches the Rfam family "tRNA". From Rfam's summary of the family: Transfer RNA (tRNA) molecules are approximately 80 nucleotides in length. Their secondary structure includes four short double-helical elements and three loops (D, anti-codon, and T loops). Lineage: Bacteria; Pseudomonadati; Pseudomonadota; Betaproteobacteria. The record is from RNAcentral.
GCCCCGGUGGCGCAGCUGGAUAGCGCGGCUCCUCUGAAGGGGCAGGACAAAGGUUCAAGUCCUCUUCUGGGCACCG